RNAcentral lists this long non-coding RNA (321 nucleotides) under Nicotiana benthamiana. RNAcentral describes it as "long non-coding RNA (NBEN_LNC019812)". The record is from RNAcentral. Lineage: Eukaryota; Viridiplantae; Streptophyta; Magnoliopsida; Solanales; Solanaceae.
UUAUUGACAUCUUCAUUAUUUGGCUUGAUAGCAUAGCACAAAUUUUGAGCACUAAUCGAAAUGAAAACAGUACAUCCUUCAGUUCACACGAUAUUCAUGCUUUUGUGUGAUUCCUUGUUGAUUUGUUGAAACUUAUCUUGAUAUUCCAUUGCAUCCUUUUAUGUAUUCUGUUAACUCCCAUAUUUGGUACAUAUCUUGUGAAUCACCUCCCACAUUUGAAGCUUUGAGUUGUCCAGUUCUAUAGCACAAUGAUUUUCCUUUAUGAUUAUAUAGUGUACCUUCCUAGAAUGUAGCCAUGCCCCAGUAUAAUAUCAAUGUAUU